GAGCACGUAGGUGGGUUUGUAAGUCAGAUGUGAAAGCCUCCUGUUCAACGGGAGAAUUGCAUCUGAAACUACUGAUCUUGAGUGUAGGAGGGGAGAAUGGGACUUCUGGGGGAGCGGUGAAAUGCGUAGAUAUCAGAAGGAACGCCGGCGGCAAAAGCAAUUCUCUGGCCUAUUACUGACACUCAGUGUGCGAAAGCUAGGGGAGCAAACGGGAUUAGAUACCCCGGUAGUCCUAGCCGAAAACGAGGGGCACUAAGUGGAGGGGUUUUU
This 270-nucleotide ribosomal RNA is filed under the name uncultured Planctomycetota bacterium. Its description in RNAcentral is "uncultured planctomycete partial 16S ribosomal RNA". It matches the Rfam family "Bacterial small subunit ribosomal RNA", at positions 565 to 833 of the family's 1533-position model. Lineage: Bacteria; Pseudomonadati; Planctomycetota. The record is from RNAcentral.